GUCCACGCCGUAAACGAUGAGUGCUAGGUGUCGCGGGCUUUGACCCCUGCGGUGCCGCAGCUAACGCAUUAAGCACUCCGCCUGGGGAGUACGGCCGCAAGGCUAAAACUCAAAGGAAUUGACGGGGGCCCGCACAAGCGGUGGAGCAUGUGGUUCAAUUCGACGCAACGCGCAGAACCUUACCUGGGCUAGAAAAUGCAGGAACCUGGUUGAAAGAUCGGGGUGCUCUUCGGAGAACCUGUAGUUAGGUGCUGCAUGGCUGUCGU
Molecule: ribosomal RNA, 266 nt
Filed under: uncultured bacterium
Lineage: Bacteria
Description: partial 16S ribosomal RNA
Rfam family: Bacterial small subunit ribosomal RNA
Source: RNAcentral